Molecule: unclassified non-coding RNA, 23 nt
Filed under: synthetic construct
Source: RNAcentral
UUGCGUCACCUCGAGCAAGUCGC